AAGUCGUAACAAGGUCUCCGUAGGUGAACCUGCGGAGGGAUCAUUACUGAAUGCGAAAGCAUUUUCUUGUCGUUUGUCUUGUUGCUUUGGGGAAACCCAAACAUACUCUUACUAUAGUCGUCUGAUAACAACCUAAUAAUCAAAACUUUCAACAACGGAUCUCUUGGUUCUG
RNAcentral lists this unclassified non-coding RNA (172 nucleotides) under Synchaetomella acerina. Its description in RNAcentral is "partial internal transcribed spacer region". The stretch from base 1 to 46 matches the Rfam family "Eukaryotic small subunit ribosomal RNA", at positions 1786 to 1831 of the family's 1831-position model. Lineage: Eukaryota; Fungi; Ascomycota; Leotiomycetes; Chaetomellales; Chaetomellaceae. The record is from RNAcentral.